AUGGUCACCUGGCAGGGGAGCCACCAUGAUUACGAAGGAGGUUUUCCCAGGGUGAGGCUUAUCUUGCACUCCCCGAUGUGCUGACCCCUGUGAUGUCCCCAAAUGUGGGAAACUCAGCUGCAUAAUUUGUGUACUGGGGGACUACAUUCAUGCUCUCCCCUG
RNAcentral lists this small nuclear RNA (162 nucleotides) under Camelus dromedarius (Arabian camel). RNAcentral's name for it is "U1 spliceosomal RNA (ENSCDRG00005003584.1)". It matches the Rfam family "U1 spliceosomal RNA". From Rfam's summary of the family: U1 is a small nuclear RNA (snRNA) component of the spliceosome (involved in pre-mRNA splicing). Its 5' end forms complementary base pairs with the 5' splice junction, thus defining the 5' donor site of an intron. There are significant differences in sequence and secondary structure between metazoan and yeast U1 snRNAs, the latter being much longer (568 nucleotides as compared to 164 nucleotides in human). Lineage: Eukaryota; Metazoa; Chordata; Mammalia; Artiodactyla; Camelidae. The record is from Rfam by way of RNAcentral.